GAUGAAGAACGCAGCGAAAUGCGAUAAGUAAUGUGAAUUGCUGAAUUCAGUGAAUCAUCGAAUCUUUGAACGCACCUUGCGCCUUUUGGUAUUCCGAAAGGCACACCUGUUUGAGCGUCAUGAAUACCUCAAUCUCCAUCUUUUCUUCGGAUUGAUGGGUGACUUGGAUGUUGAGCCCUGCUGGUAUGCUAUAUCAGCUGGCUUUAAACUUAUUAGCCGGCUCUGUACUGGAUCGGUUUGACUCGACGUGAUAAUAUUAUCGUUGAGGAUGCAUGUCUCAUGCAGCCGGAAAGUAUCAAAGCAGCUUCUAGCUUGCCUUUAGUGCACUUUUACAUUUUAGACCUCAGAUCAGGUGGGACUACCCGCUGAACUUAAGCAUAUCAAUAAGCGGAGGA
RNAcentral lists this unclassified non-coding RNA (395 nucleotides) under soil metagenome. Its description in RNAcentral is "partial contains 5.8S ribosomal RNA, internal transcribed spacer 2, and large subunit ribosomal RNA". The stretch from base 1 to 120 matches the Rfam family "5.8S ribosomal RNA", at positions 35 to 154 of the family's 154-position model. The record is from RNAcentral.